This 72-nucleotide transfer RNA is filed under the name Anguilla anguilla (European eel). It matches the Rfam family "tRNA". From Rfam's summary of the family: Transfer RNA (tRNA) molecules are approximately 80 nucleotides in length. Their secondary structure includes four short double-helical elements and three loops (D, anti-codon, and T loops). The record is from Rfam by way of RNAcentral. Lineage: Eukaryota; Metazoa; Chordata; Actinopteri; Anguilliformes; Anguillidae.
GUUUCUGUAGUGUAGUGGUUAUCACGUUUGCCUAACACACGCAAGGUCCUCGGUUCAAACCGAGCAGAAACA